RNAcentral lists this long non-coding RNA (1509 nucleotides) under Homo sapiens (human). Its description in RNAcentral is "non-protein coding lnc-RPS14-2:1". The record is from RNAcentral. Lineage: Eukaryota; Metazoa; Chordata; Mammalia; Primates; Hominidae.
CUCCGCCCCCUCCCACUCUCUCUUUCCGGUGUGGAGUCUGGAGACGACGUGCAGGACCAAGACCCCUGGACCUGGGGCCCAGUCGGCCCUCAGAGCCCUUGCCCGCUCGGGUAUGAAGAUCGGGCGGAUUGGUAAGUGCCCCCCUCUAGCUAAUGCUUGGGUUUAUUUUGAAGCAUUGGCCCCAAAAAGCACGUGCUGUGCCCAGUGGAUGUGCAGCGGCUGGUCUGGUCACUUUUGGCAGUUAAGUUUGUUAAGGGAGGCUGCAAGAGGCACCUUGUGACUUAAAAAUCUCUCCCUGAAUAUCUCUGUCACCUUGAUAUGAAUGUCCUGUUUCAUUUGUGAAUCUCUGUCCUACACUGCCUGGUGCAGGUAAAACUGACAAGAGAUGAAUUGUCCUUUCCUCCAUUCUUGAGGUCAUUGCUAUUAGCAUUUUGUGUGUACCAUCUCCUGCAUUGUAGGAUGUUCAGCAUUUUUGGUUUCCGCCUACUAAAUAUCAGUUGGGCAUGCCAGUCGUGUGACAGCCAAAAAUGAAGUGGGGGGUACCAGCUUCUGUUAUUAAUACCCUCAGGCCUGUGAUCUCCUGGCUCCUUACAGCUCUUAGGAAGGGAACAGUAGUCUUUCCCUGCACAUUGUUCUGUGCAGUUAGUAGCGACAUACACUGACGCCCCAGGCCAAAGUUCCUACUGUGUCCUACUUGAAGGAUGAUUUUGUUUUCUUGAGACAGGGUCUGGCUCUGUUGCGUGGGCUGGAAUUCAGUGGCACAAUCUCAGCUCACUGUAAAUUUCGCCUCGUGGGCGGAUCUGUCCAAAGGAUCCUCCCACCUGCAUCUACUGAGUAGCUGGGACAACAGUGUGUGCCACACCGGGCUUUUUUUUUUUGUAGCGGGGAGUUUCACCAUGUUGCCCAGGUUGGUCCCAAACUCCUGGCCUCAGGCGUUCCACCAGCCUCAGUCUCCCAAAGCCCAAAGUGCUAGGAUUACAGGCAUGAGCCACCGCGCCCAGCCUUAAAAGAUUUUUUCAGACUUUUUUUCAGUGUCUUUUUACUUAAUGAAAACGAGACAGUUGCAGUUACCCUGUCUAAAAGGGUUUUUUCCUCUAGAGAAGACGGUGGGCUAGAUGUCAGAACCUGGAUUUGUCCUGUGCCUCUGACAUCUUGCGCACAGCUCAGCCUGUUUCCCUUUCUGGAAAGUGAGUUAAGACCACGUCAGGAAAUUCGAGGAACUGGCAGAUGGGGCCACUUCAUGUUCACAUCCAUCUGUUAGGUACUGGGGAGUCAUUUGGGGAGCAGCAGGAUCUGUUGCUGAUUGGUUAGGCCAUUGGUCUAGGGAGUCCUGGGGGCCCUUCCCAUCCAGCUCCAGGCAAUGACGCUUUCUCUUCCUCCCCACAGAGGAUGUCACCCCCAUCCCCUCUGACAGCACUCGCAGGAAGGGGGGUCGCCGUGGUCGCCGUCUGUGAACAAGAUUCCUCAAAAUAUUUUCUGUUAAUAAAUUGCCUUCAUGUAAACUGUUUC